GAUGAAGAACGCAGCGAAAUGCGAUAAGUGAUGUGAAUUGCAGAAUUCAGUGAAUCAUCGAAUCUUUGAACGCACAUUGCGCCCUCUGGUAUUCCGGGGGGCAUGCCUGUUCGAGCGUCAUUACAACCCUCAAGCUUUGCUUGGUAUUGGACAUUGCCAGUUUCUGGCAGGUCUUAAAAUCAGUGGCGGUGCCAUUUGGCUUCAAGCGUAGUAAUUCUUCUCGCUCUGGAGGUCCGGUCGUGUGCUCGCCAGCAACCCCCAAUUUUUUUCAGGUUGACCUCGGAUCAGGUAGGGAUACCCGCUGAACUUAAGCAUAUCAAUAAGCGGAGGA
RNAcentral lists this unclassified non-coding RNA (331 nucleotides) under soil metagenome. RNAcentral describes it as "partial contains 5.8S ribosomal RNA, internal transcribed spacer 2, and large subunit ribosomal RNA". The stretch from base 1 to 120 matches the Rfam family "5.8S ribosomal RNA", at positions 35 to 154 of the family's 154-position model. The record is from RNAcentral.